AUGGGGGCUAAAGUUCUUAUCCUGGUCACCGUGGCCGUGGCCAUGCUCAGGAUGGUACUCGGCGCCAGUCACACGGUGGGCGCGCCGGCCGGAUCAUGGGACCAACAGACCAACUACACCUUGUGGGCUUCGAGAACUAGGUUCAUCAUCGGCGAUGAGCUCCAGUUUCAGUACUCCACCACCUUCCAGUACUCUGCCGCCGUUCACAGCGUGGUGGAGGUGAGCAAGACGGGAUAUGACUCCUGCAAUGGCUCCAGCCCCAUAGCGACUUUCCCGACCGGUAAUGAUGUUGUUCCGCUUGCCAAUGUUGGGACCCGGUAUUUCAUCUGCGGCGUCUCUGGGCACUGCGACGCCGGCAUGAAGGUCGAGGUCAACGUCAAGUCGAAAGAAGUGCGGACAGUACAACGGUGCCGACGGAUAGGGAACCGGCGUUGGUGCCAGUCUGAGAAAGUAUUAAGCUCAGCUGCGGCGGCUAGCAUUGAACAAUCUACAGUGGCCCGGUUCGGUCUAAUAGUUGUUGCGGCUGGUCUUACGUUGUUAUUUUAG
This 546-nucleotide ribosomal RNA is filed under the name Triticum aestivum (bread wheat). RNAcentral describes it as "partial small subunit ribosomal RNA". Lineage: Eukaryota; Viridiplantae; Streptophyta; Magnoliopsida; Poales; Poaceae. The record is from RNAcentral.